Aotus nancymaae (Ma's night monkey) is the source of this 63-nucleotide microRNA precursor. Lineage: Eukaryota; Metazoa; Chordata; Mammalia; Primates; Aotidae. The record is from Ensembl.
ACUGGGAAGAGGAGCUGAGGGGCAUUGUGGAGAGGGUCUCACAUUGUCCCUCUCCCUUCCCAG